Molecule: ribosomal RNA, 303 nt
Filed under: uncultured bacterium
Lineage: Bacteria
Description: bacterial SSU rRNA
Rfam family: Bacterial small subunit ribosomal RNA
Source: RNAcentral
UGAGGAAUAUUGGUCAAUAGGCGGGAGCCUGAACCAGCCAAGUCGCGUGAGGGAAGACGGUCCUAUGGAUUGUAAACCUCUUUAGGCGGGGAGCAAUGCCGGGCACGCGUGCCCGGAGGGAGAGUACCCGCAGAAUAAGCAUCGGCUAACUCCGUGCCAGCAGCCGCGGUAAUACGGAGGAUGCGAGCGUUAUCCGGAUUUAUUGGGUUUAAAGGGUGCGUAGGCGGAUUUUUAAGUCAGCGGUAAAAUGUCCGGGCUCAACCCGGGCCGGCCGUUGAAACUGGGGAUCUUGAGUGGGCGAGA